AUUGAACGCUGGCGGCAUGCCUAACACAUGCAAGUCGAGCGGUUGCAGGUAUCUUGCUCCUGGAUUCAGCGGCGGACGUGUGUGUUAUGUCUAGGAAUCUGCCUGGUAGUGGGGGAUAACGUCCGGAAACUUGCUCUAAUACCACAUACGUUCUGAGGGAGAACGUGGGGGCUCUUCGGAUCUCACGCUCUCAGCUGAGCCUAGGUCGGAUUAGCUAGUUGGUGGGAUAAAGGCCUACCAAGGCGACGAUCCGUAGCUGGUCUGAGAGGAUGAUCAGUCACACUGGGACUGAGACACGGUCCAGACUCCUACGGGAGGCUGCAGUGGGGAAUAUUGGACAAUGGGCGAAAGCCUGAUCCAGCCAUGCCGCGUGUAUGAUGAAGGUCUUCGGAUUGUAAAGCACUUUAAGAUGGAAGGAAAAGAAGUAAGUUAAUACCUGGCUGUUAUGACGUUACCAUAAGAAUAAGCACCGGCUAACUACGUG
RNAcentral lists this ribosomal RNA (484 nucleotides) under uncultured bacterium. Its description in RNAcentral is "partial 16S ribosomal RNA". It matches the Rfam family "Bacterial small subunit ribosomal RNA", at positions 30 to 507 of the family's 1533-position model. The record is from RNAcentral.